RNAcentral lists this ribosomal RNA (306 nucleotides) under uncultured bacterium. RNAcentral describes it as "partial 16S ribosomal RNA". It matches the Rfam family "Bacterial small subunit ribosomal RNA", at positions 507 to 807 of the family's 1533-position model. The record is from RNAcentral.
GACAGCAGCAGCCGCGGGAAUACGGAGGGUGCAAGCGUUAUCCGGAUUCACUGGGUUUAAAGGGUGCGUAGGCGGAUCUGUAAGUCAGUGGUGAAAUCUCCAGGUUUAACCUGGAAACUGCCGUUGAUACUAUAGGUCUUGAAUUUUGUGGAGGUUAGCGGAAUAUGUCAUGUAGCGGUGAAAUGCAUAGAUAUGACAUAGAACACCAAUUGCGAAGGCAGCUGGCUACACAACUAUUGACGCUGAGGCACGAAAGCGUGGGGAUCAAACAGGAUUAGAUACCCCCGUAGUCCCUGUCUCUUAUAC